Molecule: ribosomal RNA, 763 nt
Filed under: Kosakonia radicincitans
Lineage: Bacteria; Pseudomonadati; Pseudomonadota; Gammaproteobacteria; Enterobacterales; Enterobacteriaceae
Description: bacterial SSU rRNA
Rfam family: Bacterial small subunit ribosomal RNA
Source: RNAcentral
CCGGGGCGGGCGGCCCUAACACAUGCAAGUCGAACGGUAGCACAGAGAGCUUGCUCUCGGGUGACGAGUGGCGGACGGGUGAGUAAUGUCUGGGAAACUGCCUGAUGGAGGGGGAUAACUACUGGAAACGGUAGCUAAUACCGCAUAACGUCGCAAGACCAAAGAGGGGGACCUUCGGGCCUCUUGCCAUCAGAUGUGCCCAGAUGGGAUUAGCUAGUAGGCGGGGUAACGGCCCACCUAGGCGACGAUCCCUAGCUGGUCUGAGAGGAUGACCAGCCACACUGGAACUGAGACACGGUCCAGACUCCUACGGGAGGCAGCAGUGGGGAAUAUUGCACAAUGGGCGCAAGCCUGAUGCAGCCAUGCCGCGUGUGUGAAGAAGGCCUUCGGGUUGUAAAGCACUUUCAGCGGGGAGGAAGGCGGUACGGUUAAUAACCGUGCCGAUUGACGUUACCCGCAGAAGAAGCACCGGCUAACUCCGUGCCAGCAGCCGCGGUAAUACGGAGGGUGCAAGCGUUAAUCGGAAUUACUGGGCGUAAAGCGCACGCAGGCGGUCUGUCAAGUCGGAUGUGAAAUCCCCGGGCUCAACCUGGGAACUGCAUUCGAAACUGGCAGGCUGGAGUCUCGUAGAGGGAGGUAGAAUUCCAGGUGUAGCGGUGAAAUGCGUAGAGAUCUGGAGGAAUACCGGUGGCGAAGGCGGCCUCCUGGGACGAAAACUGACGCUCAGGAGCUAAAGCUUGUGGAGCAAGCAGGUAUCAGAUAC